UGACCCCGAGUUCAAAUCUUUGGGGGAGAGAGAGCCAGGAAAGGAAAUGGCAAUUUCAACUAGGUGCUGCCUCAACGUGUCCCCUCCAACCCCAAAUCUUGGCUCAAACAACUCUUCUCUUAACACCAAGGGACCCCAAGUUGCAUGGCCAAGGGACGAUAAAUGGAGGAAGCAAUGCGCAUUAGGGUUGGCCUUCAUGAUGGUCGGGUUACAAGUAGGCGACAUGAAUACCGACGGCGCCAUUGCUAGAGAAUAUCAUCGGUCGCCGCGGAAUCGAACUCGGGGGUAACAAGGUGGAGUGACAAAAGGAUGUGCCCUCAUGGCAGGCGAAUUCACUAGAGACAAUCGUGCCGGAGAAUCUCCGAGGCCAUCGGUCAUCGGAGAUGGGAGCUAUUGGUUUCUCCCAAAAUGCACCGGCACUAAAGUGGCAGUAGCUAGGAAAACAAUAUCCGCUUCUCUAUGUGAUUCCACAUUGUUGUAUUGAUCACAUCAAAUACAAAUCAAUCAGAGAUGAA
This is a long non-coding RNA of Hibiscus syriacus, 515 nucleotides long. RefSeq lists it as uncharacterized. The record is from RefSeq and is a predicted model, not a curated record. The transcript is spliced from 2 exons. Lineage: Eukaryota; Viridiplantae; Streptophyta; Magnoliopsida; Malvales; Malvaceae.